GGGGAAUUCUGGACAAUGGGCGCAAGCCUGAUCCAGCCAUGCCGCGUGUCUGAAGAAGGCCUUCGGGUUGUAAAGGACUUUUGUCAGGGAAGAAAAGGGCGGGGUUAAUACCCCUGUCUGAUGACGGUACCUGAAGAAUAAGCACCGGCUAACUACGUGCCAGCAGCCGCGGUAAUACGUAGGGUGCGAGCGUUAAUCGGAAUUACUGGGCGUAAAGCGGGCGCAGACGGUUACUUAAGCAGGAUGUGAAAUCCCCGGGCUCAACCUGGGAACUGCGUUCUGAACUGGGUGACUAGAGUGUGUCAGAGGGAGGUAGAAUUCCACGUGUAGCAGUGAAAUGCGUAGAGAUGUGGAGGAAUACCGAUGGCGAAGGCAGCCUCCUGGGAUAACACUGACGUUCAUGCCCGAAAGCGUGGGUAGCAAACAGGAUUAGAUACCCUGGUAGUCCACGCCCUAAACGAUGUCGAUUAGCUGUUGGGCAGCUUGACUGCUUAGUAGCGAAGCUAACGCGUGAAAUCGACCGCCUGGGGAGUACGGUCGCAAGAUUA
This 548-nucleotide ribosomal RNA is filed under the name uncultured bacterium. Its description in RNAcentral is "bacterial SSU rRNA". It matches the Rfam family "Bacterial small subunit ribosomal RNA", at positions 356 to 896 of the family's 1533-position model. The record is from RNAcentral.